Molecule: RNA transcript, 3487 nt
Organism: Leptidea sinapis
Lineage: Eukaryota; Metazoa; Arthropoda; Insecta; Lepidoptera; Pieridae
Gene name: alpha-tocopherol transfer protein-like
Exons: 10
Source: RefSeq, a predicted model, not a curated record
CACGAUUUCAUCAGACAUUCGCGUGUCACUCUUUGGUGUCACAUAAACGUCUUAUUACGAUGAAUUUACAAUAACUUUUUUAAAAAUAAUAAAUUAAACAAAUUUAAAAUUGUUAAAUAUUAAUAUUAAUUAAAUGUUAUGAAAUCUAGCAGAAUACUACAAUAAUAGCUAAAAAUAUGCAUCAUGGCAUACCCGUUGAAUACCUUAUUUUGUGGAAAUUUUGAUCUGGGUGAAAUUGUUUUUGUAUGUUUGGCAUUCACCAUUGUCCUUAUCGUUUUGAGCCAAGCUAGCAAGAUUAUAGCUUCUGGAUUUUUCAACCUUUCACCAGUGCGUAAGAUAAUGUUGGCAAUAAAGCGGUUAUUGCAAGCAACCAAAGUACAUUCUAUCUCGGUACCAAAACAAGUUGCAGCGGUGCAGAGGCGGUCAGUGGCACACUAACUGACAUUCUAUGUGGACGUGCCUUUAUUAUUGGAGUGCUCGGGCUUUUCAAGUAACAAGAUGUCGCGGCGACUUACGAAGCGAUAUUUAACAGACGCUGAUGAGUACAAGUGUCCUCUCUCACCUGAAACACAAGCUAUAGCUGAGGAGGAGCUGAGAGAAACAGAAAAUUCGAGGUCACAGGCAUUGGCAGCCCUAAGAAGCUGGCUGGAACAGAAUCCAAAGUUUCUUGCUGUUAGAAUGGAUUCGAACUUCCUGCUGCGUUAUCUUCGUACCAAAAAAUUCAGCGUACCUAUGGCUCAAGAAGCAAUAGAGAGAUACAUGCUUCUCAGACAGUCUUGGGGCAUAGCGUUCAACCAGCUUGAUUAUAAGUUGCCAGUAAUGAUGGAACUUAUUGACCUCGGGUACAUAUUCGUGAGCCCCUUCAAGGACAAGGGAGGACGAAGAGUCGUUAUAUACAGGCCAGGAGUAUUCGAUCCGUAUAAAUACACAAACCAGGAUAUGUGCAGAGUGAUGGCCACCUGCUAUGAGACCUUAAUGGAAGACGAGGAGACUCAAGUCCGAGGGCUGGUGCAUUACGCAGACGGAUCUGGAGUCAGUUUCCCCCACCUCACACUUUUCACUCCGAAAGAGGCUGUGCGGAUUGUUAAAAAUGGAGAGAGGACAAUACCAAUGCGACAUAAAGAGAUUUACGGAGUGAACGUUCACCCAACAAUUAAAUUUGCUCUGGACUUUGGUAUGGCUUUGAUUUCUGAGAAAAUACGAAAACGUGUGAAGCUAUAUACAUCGGUGGAAGACGUCGAGAUAGAUAAGAAUUUACUUCCGCUGGAGUACGGCGGCACUACACCUAUGAAGGAAAUGAUAGAGCAAUGGAAAGUAGAGCUGGCUAGGAAGCGUGAUAUUCUCCUGUUGAGUGACAAAAUGGCAGUACGCCUGGAGAUGUACAGCGAAGCGGCGCGAGAAGGUGCUAUAUCGGCUCUGCGAUCCGGAGCAAACACUUGCGCAAGCGCAGACGCAGUUGGCGACGCCAUGAGAGGACUAACGGGCAACUUUAGAAAACUUGAAGUCGACUAAUUUCAUGUCUCUUUCUUUCUAAUUUAAGUUCAUAAGCGAGUACAAACUAAAUUGUAACCCUACCAUACGUAUUCUACUGUACAGUAAUAGUUACAUUAAAUAAUUAUACAUGUAAAGAUAUCAUUAUAAGUUUAGAAGUCUGUCUCAUAACUACAGGAAGUUAAAUAGUGACCUCGAACUGAUUGUUGAUGAAGUUCAAUGUUAUAUUCAUGAUUUAAACUUUAGAAUGAUGAUGUACCUACGCCAGGCAGCCGUCCAAUUGUAAUAUUUCGAAGGUUUGUAGCUCCGUUACAAUUUAUUUAAUUAAUAUUUCGUGUCUCCACUAGGACUAUAUUAUGACGUGGAAACUUCAUAAGCCGCGAAAACCAACUAAAAGGCCAAUGCUUCUGUGACUCCUUCAGAACUGUAGAGUAUGAGCAAUGAUCACUGACCAACAGGUGAAUAAAAAAAGUGUGUGUAUGCUUAUGUAUGCAUGCAAAAAGUUAUACUUCUUUGGCCUAACAAAGAAAAAAAUCCUUAUAAUUAUUUAUUCCUCGUGCUGUUUUGUUUGGAGAAAGAACAGUAUUGUUUAAAUCUUGCAAAGAUGGCUUUGACAAUUAAUUAUUAAAUAACGAAUACGGCUGUACGGGCUUGAACCCUUUGCCCAUCCUAUUAAUGGACGAAGAAACCAAAAAAACCAACUUCACCCUGUUACUCUUGUGUUACAGUGCGCGCAUCUUAAAAUUUCACACUCAUAAUUUUUACAUAACGCGCCUUAAGAACUUCAAAAACUUCUGAAAGUAAGAAUAAUUCUAAUGUUUUUUGGCAACGUAAACGCUUGCCCAUGAUAUACUCGUUGGUCAUGAUUCAUGCCUAAUCAAACGGACAAAAGUCCACUUAUGAUAAUAUUAUGUUUAGUAAGACUCAAUCAAUUUUAUUAUACCAAUAGAUGUGUCAUAUAUAUAGUCACAAAGUAAAGCACGCCAGAAGAUUUCACUGCAAAAUUUAUACAACUAGUUACAUAGUUUUUUUACUUUCGCAUCAAUACCUAUGCCAAUAUAACGUAUCUGCAAUGAAAUAGGUACCUUCAGUUAUGUUAUGCCCACGCUAAUAACAUAACUGCUCUUUCUAAUUAAUUAUAUAAUAUCAUCGGACAUUUUAAAAUAAGUAAUUUUAUAGCAUAAUAUAAAACUUUUUAAUAAUAUUUGUGUCAUUAAUUAUAAAAUAUCAUUAACUGCCCUACUUUUAUCACUGAGGUGAAACUUAUGUAUCGACGUUCAACGGCGGUGACUCAAAUACUGUAUUUGACACCGUCACAGGUGAUGAAAGCUGGAUAUAUUGCUACGAACCCGAAACCAAAAGACAAUCAGCUAAGUGGGUGUUUCCUUUCGAGGAUCGGCCAACUAAGGUAAAGAAAGGAAGAAGUUUUCAUGUCCCACUGUGUGCUUGUCGCGUCCUUUCACCAGUCUCAUUCUGACAAGCGGGAGAGAAAGGGAUGCGAAUACUUGUCAAUAUUUGUAACACAUUAAAUUAUGUAUAAGGUUAAACAAUCUCUAGAUAGUAUCUAACUGCUACUACCAAUCUGUGUCUAUCAAAACAGUAAACUGAACACGCCGUGACUGCGACAUUGCCGUUCUGUUGUCGAGCGCGCGCAGUACCAGCGCCGCUUAGAUUUGUAUGAAAAAAACUAACGUGCCGGUGCUGUACCGCAGCAGGCCGUCAAGAAACGCAUAAAUUGAAUUUUAGUAUCUUCUAAGGGUAACUCAAUGACCACUAGCAUAAUUGUUACCUACAAAUUGUUAUAAAUAUAUUAUGUGUAUUUACAUCCAGACACAUAUCAAAUGACUAUGUUUGCCAAACAAAUAUUUAUUCCGGAUGGGAUUGAACAUACGACCAGGGCCAACCUACUAUACUUCUAUUUAAUGUAGUUGCAUUACACCUUAUACCUGCUAGAAAUAAGGUGGGCUUCACAAUAAAAGUCAAAAUUUUUAUUAAA